CCUACGGGAGUCAGCAGUGGGGGAUAUUGGACAAUGGGGGUAACCCUGAUCCAGCGACGCCGCGUGAGUGAAGAAUUAUUUCGGUAUGUAAAGCUCUAUCGGCAGGGAAGCAAGAAAUGACGGUACCUGAGUAAGAAGCCCCGGCUAACUACGUGCCAGCAGCCGCGGUAAUACGGAGGGGGCAAGUGUUAUCCGGGAUUGCUGGGGUGAACGGGGGUCUGGAGGGUAAUGGAAGUCUAGAGGGAAAGGCGGGGGCCCACACCCCGGACUGCUCUGGAAACUGGGUAACUGGAGUGCCGGAGAGGCAGGCGGAAUGCCUAGUGUAGCGGUGAAAUGCGUAGAUAUUAGGAGGAACACCAGUGGCGAAGGCGGCAUGCUGGACUGUAACUGACGUUGAGGCUCGAAAGCGUGGGGAGCAAACAGGAUUAGAUACCCCAGUAGUC
This 443-nucleotide ribosomal RNA is filed under the name uncultured bacterium. Its description in RNAcentral is "partial 16S ribosomal RNA". It matches the Rfam family "Bacterial small subunit ribosomal RNA", at positions 338 to 795 of the family's 1533-position model. The record is from RNAcentral.